AGAGUUUGAUCCUGGCUCAGAACGAACGCUGGCGGCGUGCCUAACACAUGCAAGUCGAGCGCGAAAGUUUCUCUUCGGAGAAGCGAGUAGAGCGGCAGACGGGUGAGUAACACGUGGAUAACCUACCCCAAAGCGGGGGAUAACCACUCGAAAGGGUGGCUAAUACCGCAUAAGACCACGUCCUUGCGAGGAUGUGGUAAAAGGCUUCGGCCACUUUGGGAGGGGUCCGCGGUCGAUUAGCUAGUUGGUGAGGUAAUGGCUUACCAAGGCGACGAUCGAUAGCUGGUCUGAGAGGAUGAUCAGCCACACUGGUACUGAGACACGGACCAGACUCCUACGGGAGGCAGCAGUGGGGAAUAUUGCGCAAUGGACGAAAGUCUGACGCAGCAACGCCGCGUGGGUGAAGAAGGUUUUCGGAUCGUAAAGCCCUGUCAGAUGGGAAGAAACCUGCUAGUCAGCUGACGGUACCAUCAAAGGAAGCACCGGCUAACUCCGUGCCAGCAGCCGCGGUAAUACGGAGGGUGCAAGCGUUGUUCGGAAUUACUGGGCGUAAAGGGCGCGUAGGCGGCCUGUCAAAAGUCCGAUGUGAAAGCCCGGGGCUCAACCCCGGAAGUGCAUUGGAAACUGGCAGGCUUGAGUUCGGGAGAGGAGGGCAGAAUUCCUGGUGUAGGGGUGAAAUCCGUAGAUAUCAGGAGGAAAAUCAGUGGCGAAGGCGGCCUUCUGGAACGUAACUGACGCUGAGGCGCGAAAGCGUGGGGAGCAAACAGGAUUAGAGACCCUGGUAGUCCACGCCGUAAACGAUGGAUACUAGGUGUAGGGCUCAUUGACGAGCUCUGUGCCGUAGCUAACGCGAUAAGUAUCCCGCCUGGGGAGUACGGUCGCAAGACUAAAACUCAAAGGAAUUGACGGGGGCCUGCACAAGCGGUGGAGUAUGUGGUUUAAUUCGACACAACGCGCAGAACCUUACCUGGGUUUGACAUCCCUUGAUCGCCAUAGAGAUAUGGUUUCCUCUUCGGAGGCAAGGUGACAGGUGCUGCAUGGCUGUCGUCAGCUCGUGUCGUGAGAUGUUGGGUUUAAGUCCCGCAACGAGCGCAACCCCUGUCCUAUGUUGCCAUCACGUAAUGGUGGGCACUCUUAGGAGACUGCCGGUGUCAAACCGGAGGAAGGUGGGGAUGACGUCAAGUCCUCAUGGCCCUUAUGCCCAGGGCUACACACGUACUACAAUGGCCGGUACAAAGAGGCGCUAACCCGCGAGGGCACGCAAAUCUCAAAAAGCCGGUCUCAGUUCGGAUUGGAGUCUGCAACUCGACUCCAUGAAGGCGGAAUCGCUAGUAAUCGCGGAUCAGCAUGCCGCGGUGAAUCCGUUCCCGGGCCUUGUACACACCGCCCGUCACACCAUGAGAGUCGCUUGUACCAGAAGUGCGUAGGCUAACCCUUCGGGGAGGCAGCGUACCAAGGUAUGGGUGGUAAUUGGGGUGAAGUCGUAACAAGGUAACC
RNAcentral lists this ribosomal RNA (1497 nucleotides) under uncultured prokaryote. RNAcentral's name for it is "partial 16S ribosomal RNA". It matches the Rfam family "Bacterial small subunit ribosomal RNA". The record is from RNAcentral.